This 440-nucleotide ribosomal RNA is filed under the name uncultured bacterium. RNAcentral's name for it is "partial 16S ribosomal RNA". It matches the Rfam family "Bacterial small subunit ribosomal RNA", at positions 338 to 795 of the family's 1533-position model. The record is from RNAcentral.
CCUACGGGUGGCAGCAGUAGGGAAUAUUGCUCAAUGGGCGAAACCCUGAAGCAGCAACGCCGCGUGGAGGAUGAAGGUCUUCGGAUUGUAAACUCCUUUUGUUAGAGAAGAUAAUGACGGUAUCUAACGAAUAAGCACUUGCUAACUCCGUGCCAGCAGCCGCGGUAAUACGGAGGGUGCAAGCGUUACUCGGAAUCACUGGGCGUAAAGAGCGCGUAGGCGGGAUAGCAAGUCAGAUGUGAAAGCCUAUGGCUUAACCAUAGAACUGCAUUUGAAACUGUUAUUCUAGAGUAUGGGAGAGGUAGGUGGAAUUCUUGGUGUAGGGGUAAAAUCCGUAGAGAUCAAGAGGAAUACUCAUUGCGAAGGCGACCUGCUGGAACGUAACUGACGCUGAUGCGCGAAAGCGUGGGGAGCAAACAGGAUUAGAUACCCCUGUAGUC